This 244-nucleotide ribosomal RNA is filed under the name uncultured bacterium. RNAcentral's name for it is "partial 16S ribosomal RNA". It matches the Rfam family "Bacterial small subunit ribosomal RNA", at positions 528 to 772 of the family's 1533-position model. The record is from RNAcentral.
UAGGGAGCGAGCGUUGUCCGGUAUUACUGGGUGUACAGGGAGCGUAGGCGGGGACGCAAGUUGGAUGUUUAAACGGCCGGCCCAACUGGUCGGUGCAACCAAAACUGCGAUUCUUGAGUGAAGUAGAGGCAGGCGGAAUUCCUAGUGUAGCGGUGAAAUGCGUAGAUAUUAGGAGGAACACCAGUGGCGAAGGCGGCCUGCUGGGCUUUAACUGACGCUGAGGCUCGAAAGCGUGGGGAGCAAA